Non-coding RNA from Sutterella wadsworthensis CAG:135, 363 nucleotides. Lineage: Bacteria; Pseudomonadati; Pseudomonadota; Betaproteobacteria; Burkholderiales; Sutterellaceae. The record is from Rfam.
GGGGGCGCCUUGGUUUCGACAGGGACGCGGACGCCGUACGGGGCAUGCCGAGGUGCAGUCACCUCGUAAAUCCGCUGCAAACUUAUAAACGCCAACAACAAGCGUUUCGCUCUCGCGGCUUAAUCCCGCGGGAUGCUGCACUGAUUUGACUUUGGGUCAGGCCGGGUAACCGGCAGCAGCAUCAAAUCACAAAGCCUAGGGCCCGCGGCUGUCUCCGACGCGUUCCCGAAAUCUAGGGGGCUGGGCAGCGGUUGGCCCGCCGGUCGGCAAAGCCGCUGCUAAGACCUAAAUCAUCCGGCUAUGCAUGUAGAACCGACGGAAAAAGGUUUCUGGACGCGGGUUCAACUCCCGCCGCCUCCACCA